Molecule: ribosomal RNA, 509 nt
Filed under: uncultured bacterium
Lineage: Bacteria
Description: bacterial SSU rRNA
Rfam family: Bacterial small subunit ribosomal RNA
Source: RNAcentral
AGGGUUUGAUUAUGGCUCAGGACGAACGCUGGCGGUGCGCCUUAUGCAUGCAAGUCGAGCGAAGCUUUUCAGUAGUUUACUACAGAAAAUGACUGAGCGGCGAACGGGUGAGUAACGCGUGAGCAAUCUACCUUAGUUACAGGGAUAGCCCGAGGAAACUCGGAUUAAUACCUGAUAUUCUUUACAUUUCGCAUGAAAUUAAAAGGAAAGGUCAGCCGAACUAAGAUGAGCUCGCGUUCUAUCAGCUAGUUGGUAAGAUAAAAGCUUACCAAGGCUACGACGGAUAGCUGGUCUGAGAGGACGAUCAGCCACACUGGGACUGAGACACGGCCCAGACUCCUACGGGAGGCUGCAGCAGGGAAUAUUGCGCAAUGAGCGAAAGCUUGACGCAGCGACACCGCGUGUGGGAUGACGGAUCUAGGUUUGUAAACCACUUUCAGGAGGGAAGAAAAUGACGGUACCUCCACAAGAAGCCCCGGCCAACUACGUGCCAGCAGCCGCGGUAAUAC